This 24-nucleotide microRNA is filed under the name Sarcophilus harrisii (Tasmanian devil). Lineage: Eukaryota; Metazoa; Chordata; Mammalia; Dasyuromorphia; Dasyuridae. The record is from RNAcentral.
UAAACACUCUAAAGACACAUUGUU